Small nucleolar RNA from Callithrix jacchus (white-tufted-ear marmoset), 99 nucleotides. Lineage: Eukaryota; Metazoa; Chordata; Mammalia; Primates; Cebidae. The record is from Ensembl.
AUCCUUUUGUAGUUCAUAAAUGUGAUUUUUUUUUUCACUCACAUGUGAGAUAUACCUCCCUUAAGGUUGUUAUACCAUCAGCACAUUACCCAUCUGGCA